UGUGUGUGCCCAGCUCGAACGAGGUAU
This 27-nucleotide non-coding RNA is filed under the name Mus musculus (house mouse). The record is from RNAcentral. Lineage: Eukaryota; Metazoa; Chordata; Mammalia; Rodentia; Muridae.